This 346-nucleotide ribosomal RNA is filed under the name uncultured bacterium. Its description in RNAcentral is "bacterial SSU rRNA". It matches the Rfam family "Bacterial small subunit ribosomal RNA", at positions 28 to 334 of the family's 1533-position model. The record is from RNAcentral.
GAUGAACGCUGGCGGCAUGCCUAAGACAUGCAAGUCGAACGAAGCAGCCCAUUGAAGAUUGCGUGCUUGCACAAAAUCGGAUUUGGAUUCCUGCUUAGUGGCGCAAGGGUGAGUAACACGUGGGUAAUCUACCUUUGAGUCUGGAAUAACAGUUAGAAAUGAUUGCUAAUACCGGAUGAUAUAUGGAAUGAUACGUCUUUCUAUAUUAAAAGGAGCCUUUAAAGCUUCGCUUAAAGAUGAGCCCGCGCCGUAUUAGUUAGUUGGUGGGGUAAUGGCCUACCAAGACGACGAUGCGUAGCCGACCUGAGAGGGUGAUCGGCCACACUGGGACUGAGACACGGCCCAG